CCAUCACUUGGGGAUAACCUUGCGAAAGUAAGACUAAUACCCAAUGGUGAUGGAUGGGGAUGCGUCUGAUUAGCUUGUUGGCGGGGUAACGGCCCACCAAGGCAACGAUCAGUAGGGGUUCUGAGAGGAAGGUCCCCCACAUUGGAACUGAGACACGGUCCAAACUCCUACGGGAGGCAGCAGUGAGGAAUAUUGGUCAAUGGACGAGAGUCUGAACCAGCCAAGUAGCGUGCAGGAUGACGGCCUAUGGGUUGUAAACUGCUUUUAUAAGGGAAUAAGUACCUUAUGAAUAAGGACCGGCUAAUUCCGUGCCAGCAGCCGCGGUAAUACGGAAGGUCCGGGCGUUAUCCGGAUUUAUUGGGUUUAAAGGGAGCGUAGGCCGGAGAUUAAGCGUGUUGUGAAACGUAGACGCUCAACGUCUGCACUGCAGCGCGAGCUGGUUUCCUUGAGUACGCACAAAGUGGGCGGAAUUCGUGGUGUAGCGGUGAAAUGCUUAGAUAUCACGAAGAACUCCGAUUGCGAAGGCAGCUCACUGGAGCGCAACUGACGCUGAAGCUCGAAAGUGCGGGUAUCGAACAGGAUUAGAUACCCUGGUAGUCCGCA
Molecule: ribosomal RNA, 603 nt
Filed under: uncultured bacterium
Lineage: Bacteria
Description: bacterial SSU rRNA
Rfam family: Bacterial small subunit ribosomal RNA
Source: RNAcentral